CUUGUCUGCAGGUUUUGGAGACCCCAGUCCACUAAUAAAUCAAAGCCUGCCAGUGUGUGGAUGUCUUCAAGCUUGACUACGUCCGUCGUCUGCCACAGCAGUAAAGGAAUCUGAAGAUGAAAAUCUACAUCGUGCUUAUCCUGGCCCUUGUAGCCCUCACCAGUGCUAACGAGAUAGACAAGCGACAAUUAAUCGACAUCUCAGGCUUGGCACAUAAGAUUGAAACUUACCUAGAGCAGCAUGGUAAAGAACUUACGGGUGCGGCAUGCACGGCGGCGUGCGAUGUAAUGACUGAUGGCAUUGCGAUUUCUCUGUGUGGUGUAGCAUGCUCACUCCUUGGUGUUCACAAAUGAGGAGAUUCAGAUUGCAGCCUCCGGUUUCAGUCAAAACAUUCUCCCUGGAACCAAAGUGAAAUAAAUAUUUGAAAGUAACAAC
RNAcentral lists this long non-coding RNA (435 nucleotides) under Pomacea canaliculata. Its description in RNAcentral is "uncharacterized LOC112564947, transcript variant X7". Lineage: Eukaryota; Metazoa; Mollusca; Gastropoda; Architaenioglossa; Ampullariidae. The record is from RNAcentral.